UGAGAGGUUCUGAACAAGUAUA
This 22-nucleotide microRNA is filed under the name Monopterus albus (swamp eel). RNAcentral's name for it is "Mal-Mir-7132-P1_3p (mature (guide))". The record is from RNAcentral. Lineage: Eukaryota; Metazoa; Chordata; Actinopteri; Synbranchiformes; Synbranchidae.